Long non-coding RNA from Ictalurus punctatus (channel catfish), 2115 nucleotides. The record is from Ensembl. Lineage: Eukaryota; Metazoa; Chordata; Actinopteri; Siluriformes; Ictaluridae.
UGUGCUCCAAAACCACCUCUGUGUUUAUUACCAAAAAGCUCUAUUCUGGUUUCAUCUGACCGUAGAACCCGAUCCCAUUUGAAGAUCCAGUAGUGUCUGCACACUGAAGACGCUCGAGUCUGUUUUUGGAGUAGAGUAGAAGCUUUUUUCUUGAAACCCUUCCAAACAGCUUGUGGUGAUGUAGGUGACUUCGGAUUGUAGUUUUGGAGACUUUCUGACCCCAAGACGUGACUAACUUCUUCAAUUCUCCAGCUGUGAUCCUUGGAGAUGUUUUGUCCACUCGAACCGUCCUCUUCACAGUGCGUUGAGACGAUACAGACACACGUCCAAUUCCAGGUCGAUUCAUAACACUUCCAGUUGACUGGAGCUUCUUAAUGAUUGCCCUGAUGCUGGAAACGGGAAUUUUCAAUGCUGGUGCUAUUUUCUUAUAGACACGCCCCAUUGUGUGAAGCUCAACCACCUUUUCCCGCACAUCACAGCUAUACUCCUUGGUCUUAUUGUAAUGAAUGAUUAAGGGAAUUUGGUCUACGUCACAUCAUAUUAAUACCCCUGUGAAACAGGAAGACCUAGUUGAACAAUGUCCUGUUCCUAGUCACCCAGGUGUACAAAAUGUUUCUUUAAUAUCAAUGGAAUAUAGUUCAAAUAUAUUUCUCAGAUGAAUUCAUAGGGGUGCCAAAAAUUGUCACACACCUAUAUUUAACAAAGAUAAUAGUUUUGAUAAACCUGUGGUGUUUGAUAUCCACGAGAAGGGAUUAUAUUUGUGAAUUCUUUGAACAAAAUAUCAAAAGAUUAAACAAUAAUGACAAUUUUUCCCCAGCCUUGUGUGCACAUAUUUACCAAGAGUGCCAAUAUUAGUGCAGGGCACUGUAUAUACCAUGUCCAAGCCAAACUGUAAAAUGUUUAGCACUUUUACGUACAGACGUUCUGUCUGUUACUCACACGGACGAGCUGUUUCUCGAAACUUUUCCACCGUCGUCUUGAUGGUUGUCGUUAUCUGCGUCUCGAUUCGAAGACCCUGACCUUAUGUUCACAAAUAUUUACUAGUCUGGAAAAUCCAAAAAGGCUAGUGCGCAAAAAAGACAGUAUGUUUCAGUUGGUUUCAAGGUUACGUGAGCGGAUUUUAAAAUGAAAAACACUAAACAUAUACUCGUAUACUCAGUACCAGUACUCAAAAACCAGUACUCAGUCACUGUGUCGAAUACUAUACUACUAAGUAUGUGAUUUGUGGCACGAUGAUAGUUUUUAUUCGGUAGCGGAUGCAGCGCCACACGGUGCUAUAAUGUCUCCGCUGUUUACGUCGGUAUUGCGAUUACGCAGACCUUCAUUUCCGAGGACGUUCCCAGCCGACUUCUGGACACGUCCGGCAGCCAUUUUGCGUACACACAGUUAAAAUCAAGUAUAAUUCGGCCUUUACAGCCCGAACAUGAAAUUUACUCGUCCUGGCUCCCCAGGUUAGUGAUUUGUCCACCCAUGCUUAAGCACGUUUCAAUCUUUUGUUUUGUUUUCGUCACUGAUACUUAAUAUCAAAUAUAAAGAGACAGUAUUUUUGUUUAAAAUUCAUUUUAAAGGUCAUCUCUUAUCGUUAACAGAUAUACAUUUACAAAAGCUCAGUCAUAAAGCUUACAGUAUUCGCAAACUAGUAGAGUUCAAGAUGUCGGUAUGUCAAUGAUACGACUUUCAUGUUUACCACAAAAGCGUAAAUUCUAAUUAAAAAAUAAGAAUAAUAAUAAGAAUAAUGCCAUUUCACACCAAAACGGUGCUUGAUGUCAUUGCAAGCAAGUCCAAUUCCUGUUACUAACGUUGUGCGGUUUAGGAUGUAUGAUUAAUUUAAACUCCUGUACACUCUGUUACGACAUAGCAGCAUACGUUAUGUGUAUAUGUGUUUCUCCGCUCUGCUGCAUAGAUCUGACCUGAUUGGGAAGAAAUGAGAGAAAUUAGAAAUCACUAUCGAGAUGAUGCAUGACCUGUACGGUUGGCGAUGAAAAGCGAGUCGCAUACGUGCGCUCUCCUGAACAUGGCAUGUCAAUGAAGACGAAAUGAAGUUCUUCUUUUCUCAGCACUUCAUGUGGACUUGUCUUAUUAUAGCCUGUUCUAGUACUUAUUAAUACAUUCCUA